Molecule: non-coding RNA, 103 nt
Filed under: Bifidobacterium mongoliense
Lineage: Bacteria; Bacillati; Actinomycetota; Actinomycetes; Bifidobacteriales; Bifidobacteriaceae
Also listed under: 1 other name
Description: TPP sequence
Rfam family: TPP riboswitch aptamer (THI element)
About the family: Vitamin B(1) in its active form thiamin pyrophosphate (TPP) is an essential coenzyme that is synthesised by coupling of pyrimidine and thiazole moieties in bacteria. The previously detected thiamin-regulatory element, thi box was extended, resulting in a new, highly conserved RNA secondary structure, the THI element, which is widely distributed in eubacteria and also occurs in some archaea.
Source: RNAcentral
CGCGUCAAGCACGGGAGCUCAGGUUACUGAGCUGAGAGGGAUAGUCCCGACCGUAGAACGUGAUCCGGUUAGUACCGGCGAACGAAGUUUUUGAUGGCCCGAU